GGCCACCUGUGACACUGGGAUGUGGUCUGGCCAGGGUUUGAUUUCCCAACACAGUUCUUACCACAGUCACAGCACAGAGAAAGAGAGAGACUCUUAUGCCUAGGAGCCAUGAGGGAACUCCCAGAGAGCUUACUAAAUGAUACCAAUCCACCCUGCUUAAUAUAUCAAUUCUGGUUUUGGUCAGGCUGCCAUACCCUGGCCCUGUACUGAAAAAAGAUGCUCACCUCGAAUGGCAAGAAGGAAAUUUCCUUGGGUGUCUUGAGCGAAGACAGCGCAGGGAUUAGCCCAGCUGCCCACCAUAAUGCCAAGAUGUCCAACAUUCAUUCAUCAGCACCAGCCUCUCUUUCCACAUACAUAAAACCUUGACAGUCAGGGGCUUGAAAAUGGCCAGCUUACAAUUCAACACCAAUGCAGAAUGGGGUACUUACUGCGACCUCCGAGCCCGCAGCGUCUUCGGCCUCGGCCCGCAGCUCUGCCUCCCCUAGCAUCUCUCCUCCCACAGGGGGCCUGCGCAGUCAUCCAACACGCUGGGCUGUGACUGGAUGGAAACUCCCGCUCCUGCGGGUGUGGGCGGAGCUACCUCCCAUUGCUGAUCUGCCCCCAUCCCAGCACCGGCUGCAACCCCCACUUCCAGAUGGACUCACACUGUGGGGAUCUCACUGCCCAGCUGGGGGUUGCCAGAUCCUCCUGGCUGACCAGGCCCUCACAGGGGGCUUGAGGACCUCCUGCCUGUGACCGUGGCAUCCAGUGGUCAGAGGACAGGACAUGAGGAGUGCUACUUGUGACCACGGGGUCCGGUGGUCAGAGGAAAGGAGGUGAAGUUGUCCUGAGUGGGACCACAGUUCCCAGUGGCCAGAGGAUAGGGAAAUGAAGAAAUGAAGGGGUCCUGAGGGUGAUUUCAGGGGCCAGUAGUUAGAGGACCAGGAUGUGAGGCUUUCCUGGGUGUGACCACAGGGCUCAGUGGUCAGUGGACUGGAAGUGAGCAUGACCUGACUGAAUGGCUGAGCUCUGGUCACUGUCCAUCACUGUGGUCACUGGAUCCCAGGGCUGCAGCAGACAAGAAUCUCACUCCAGGGCUCUGUUGCCUUGUCCCCCCAGUGCCCACAGCAGCGUUCUCUGAGCACAUUGGUCAACAGACCAUCAAGUCCUCCACGGAAGUGUCCAGCCCUUCCACCCUGAGUGGCCCUUGUCACAGUCCCGACCAGGGUAGGUGACCUCAGUGGAUGGAAGUGGAUCCCCAAGGCACAUCCACACCUGCAGGCCCACCUGCGCCUGACGCUGACCCCAAGGUGACUACAGCCGAGGAGGGUGCGCCCCUCCCCCUUUCCUCAUUCCUGUCUGCUACUCUUGGUGAGUCCUCCACUCAGUGAAGUGCCUUGUCCACCUGCACCCCACCCCCCCACUGGCUGGAAGUCAAGGAACAGAGUGGACAAAUGUUGGGAUGGCUCAGAGGCUGACUAGGGUGAAUUCUCCAGGGGGCCUCUCGCCCCUCCAUUCAGAACCCUCAUCCCUCCGUCAUUGCUGCCAGUGGACCUGGGCUACUGAUCUCUUAUGGGGACGUCCACUCAGCUGCCCCAAAGCACCUGGCUGGCUUCCCAUUCCUUACCUCCAUCCAGACUCAGGCCCCAUGGGCUCCCU
This 1638-nucleotide long non-coding RNA is filed under the name Sus scrofa (pig). RNAcentral's name for it is "lncRNA (ENSSSCG00065033660.1)". The record is from RNAcentral. Lineage: Eukaryota; Metazoa; Chordata; Mammalia; Artiodactyla; Suidae.